This 253-nucleotide ribosomal RNA is filed under the name uncultured bacterium. Its description in RNAcentral is "partial 16S ribosomal RNA". It matches the Rfam family "Bacterial small subunit ribosomal RNA", at positions 524 to 776 of the family's 1533-position model. The record is from RNAcentral.
UACAGAGGUCUCAAGCGUUGUUCGGAUUCAUUAGGCGUAAAGGGCGCGUAGGCGGGAUGGCAAGUCGGUCGUGAAAUCCCUCGGCUCAACCGAGGAACGUCGAUCGAUACUGCUGUUCUCGAGGAUUGCAGAGGAGACUGGAAUUCCCGGUGUAGCGGUGAAAUGUGUAGAGAUCGGGAGGAACACCGGUGGCGAAGGCGGGUCUCUGGGCAAUUCCUGACGCUGAGGCGCGAAAGCGUGGGGAGCAAACGGG